UCCUGUGCAACCGCACGAACACCGUUUAAGCAGUUUUAAACUCACGGUGCAAGGCGAGUCUUCACAAAA
RNAcentral lists this small RNA (69 nucleotides) under Streptococcus ferus. Lineage: Bacteria; Bacillati; Bacillota; Bacilli; Lactobacillales; Streptococcaceae. The record is from RNAcentral.